This is a long non-coding RNA of Macadamia integrifolia, 467 nucleotides long. RefSeq lists it as uncharacterized. Lineage: Eukaryota; Viridiplantae; Streptophyta; Magnoliopsida; Proteales; Proteaceae. The record is from RefSeq and is a predicted model, not a curated record. The transcript is spliced from 3 exons.
UAAAGAAGGGAGAGAGAGAAAGAAGAAAGGAAAAGGAAGAAGAAGAAGAAAGAAGAAGGAAAAUCGACCAUAGCAUUUCACCGGAGUUGGGUCUUGAUAUUUUAAGCCCGGAUUAAUGAUCAGCUUGCCGGGAUCUUCGAUUUGAGGAUUUGGAAGGAGUGUUGGUGAAGAUCUAGAGUUUUUGCGAGUUCUUGAGCUAAAUGAGUGAGAUUAGGGUUUCAUUGGUGUUCUUGAGAAAAGAGGUUACACUCAUUAUACGUGUACCCACACAUCGGAUCUCUUAUGUACCAGAUGCAAGCAUCGUCUACUUAUACAAGUAAGUGGGGAGUGGACUUUGAUUUAAUUUUAGAAUGUUUAUGCAUCACUUAAUAAGUGUUAGUCUAGUCACGUCAUCAUAUCAUUUGUGUGUAGACUAGACAUCACGUAUGCCAUAUCACGCAUUGUAUGUGUAUUUACAUAAUAUGUUA